RNAcentral lists this ribosomal RNA (194 nucleotides) under uncultured bacterium. RNAcentral describes it as "partial 16S ribosomal RNA". It matches the Rfam family "Bacterial small subunit ribosomal RNA", at positions 1307 to 1500 of the family's 1533-position model. The record is from RNAcentral.
GCAACUCGACUGCAUGAAGCUGGAAUCGCUAGUAAUCGCGGAUCAGAAUGCCGCGGUGAAUACGUUCCCGGGUCUUGUACACACCGCCCGUCACACCAUGGGAGUCGGAUAUGCCCGAAGUCAGUGACCCAACCGCAAGGAGGGAGCUGCCGAAGGUGGAGCCGAUGACUGGGGUGAAGUCGUAACAAGGUAGC